This 217-nucleotide long non-coding RNA is filed under the name Elaeis guineensis (African oil palm). RNAcentral's name for it is "long non-coding RNA (EGUI_LNC082483)". The record is from RNAcentral. Lineage: Eukaryota; Viridiplantae; Streptophyta; Magnoliopsida; Arecales; Arecaceae.
GUUCGGGGCGUGACAAAAUGGUAUCAGAGCUUAGGUUAUGAUCAUUGGGGAUUAUGAUAUAAGUGAUUAAGAUUUGAUAAAAUGAUAUUAGAGCUUAAGUUUAAGUCACUAGGAAUUAUGAAGUGAUAUCAAAACUUUAUGCAUGAUCAAUAGGAUGUGACAGAGUGAUAUCAGAGAAUAUGAUAGAACAGUACUAGAGCUCAGGUUUAAGGUCACU